This 77-nucleotide transfer RNA is filed under the name Camelus bactrianus (Bactrian camel). It matches the Rfam family "tRNA". Rfam says of the family: Transfer RNA (tRNA) molecules are approximately 80 nucleotides in length. Their secondary structure includes four short double-helical elements and three loops (D, anti-codon, and T loops). Further hydrogen bonds mediate the characteristic L-shaped molecular structure. tRNAs have two regions of fundamental functional importance: the anti-codon, which is responsible for specific mRNA codon recognition, and the 3' end, to which the tRNAs corresponding amino acid is attached (by aminoacyl-tRNA synthetases). tRNAs cope with the degeneracy of the genetic code in two manners: having more than one tRNA (with a specific anti-codon) for a particular amino acid; and 'wobble' base-pairing, i.e. permitting non-standard base-pairing at the 3rd anti-codon position. RNAcentral also lists the same sequence under 2 other names. Lineage: Eukaryota; Metazoa; Chordata; Mammalia; Artiodactyla; Camelidae. The record is from Rfam by way of RNAcentral.
GAGGGUAUAGCUCACUGGUAGAUCAUGUGCUUAGCAUGCAUACGAUGGGGUCCUAGGUUCAAUCCUCAGUACCUUCA